AACUACAUUAUCGAUGUAUAGAUUCACCCGCAAGAUGAUGUGGUUGUUUCACCUAGGACGAGGACAUGACAUCCUAUUACCAGCCAUCGCACGAAAUUAAUAUGAUGCCACGUCCUCAUCCUAGAUGGAACAACCACGUCAUAUCACGAGUGAAUCCAUUCAUCGAUAGUGUUGUU
Molecule: microRNA precursor, 176 nt
Organism: Oryza sativa Japonica Group (Japanese rice)
Lineage: Eukaryota; Viridiplantae; Streptophyta; Magnoliopsida; Poales; Poaceae
Rfam family: MIR807 microRNA precursor family
Source: Rfam